GUGCGAGACCGAUAGCGAACAAGUACCGUGAGGGAAAGAUGAAAAGAACUUUGAAAAGAGAGUUAAAGAGUACCUGAAACUGCUGAAAGGGAACCGAAUCGUUUCCAGUGUCUAUAAUCUAUGGCAUAUUUCAUUGGCGUGUGGAUGUGUGCAGCGUUUUGGAAGUAGUUUUCUGCUCCUGUCGUUGUUUUGCGUUCGCCUGCUGGUGCCCUGUGCUGUAGUGGGACGUCAGAGUCAAUUCGUAUGCUGCGGGAAAUGGUUAUUGGGGAGGUAGGUCACUUCGGUGGCUGUUAUAUCCUGGUAACUAGUCGUCGUGGUUGGGAUUGAGGUGCCUAC
RNAcentral lists this ribosomal RNA (336 nucleotides) under uncultured Oomycota. Its description in RNAcentral is "eukaryotic LSU rRNA". It matches the Rfam family "Eukaryotic large subunit ribosomal RNA", at positions 326 to 612 of the family's 3401-position model. Lineage: Eukaryota; Oomycota. The record is from RNAcentral.